This 921-nucleotide ribosomal RNA is filed under the name uncultured bacterium. RNAcentral describes it as "bacterial SSU rRNA". It matches the Rfam family "Bacterial small subunit ribosomal RNA", at positions 12 to 975 of the family's 1533-position model. The record is from RNAcentral.
UUUGAUCCUGGCUCAGGAUGAACGCUGGCGGUCUGCUUAACACAUGCAAGUCGAACGGAGUGCUUCGGCACUUAGUGGCGGACGGGUGAGUAACGCGUGAGAAUCUGCCCUUAGGACGGGGACAACAGCUGGAAACGGCUGCUAAUACCCGAUGUGCCGAGAGGUGAAACAUUUUAUGGCCUGAGGAUGAGCUCGCGUCUGAUUAGCUAGUUGGUGGGGUAAGAGCCUACCAAGGCGACGAUCAGUAGCUGGUCUGAGAGGAUGAUCAGCCACACUGGGACUGAGACACGGCCCAGACUCCUACGGGAGGCAGCAGUGGGGAAUUUUCCGCAAUGGGCGCAAGCCUGACGGAGCAAGACCGCGUGCGGGAGGACGGCCUAUUGGUUGUAAACCGCUUUUGAUAGGGAAGAAGUACUGACGGUACCUAUCGAAUCAGCAUCGGCUAACUCCGUGCCAGCAGCCGCGGUAAUACGGAGGAUGCAAGCGUUAUCCGGAAUUAUUGGGCGUAAAGCGUCCGUAGGUGGUUGUUCAAGUCUGCUGUUAAAGCGUGCGGCUUAACCGCAUACCAGCAGUGGAAACUGGACGACUAGAGUGCGGUAGGGGUCAGGGGAAUUCCCAGUGUAGCGGUGAAAUGCGUAGAUAUUGGGAAGAACACCGGUGGCGAAAGCGCCUGACUGGACCUGCACUGACAAUGAGGGACGAAAGCUAGGGGAGCGAAAGGGAUUAGAUACCCCUGUAGGCCUAGCCGUAAACGAUGGACACUAGGUGUUGCCCGUAUCGACCCGGGCAGUGCCGUAGCCAACGCGUUAAGUGUCCCGCCUGGGGAGCACGCUCGCAAGAGUGAAACUCAAAGGAAUUGANGGGGCCCGCACAAGCGGUGGAGUAUGUGGUUUAAUUCGAUGCAACGCGAAGAACCUUACC